Hippocampus comes (tiger tail seahorse) is the source of this 512-nucleotide long non-coding RNA. RefSeq lists it as uncharacterized. The transcript has 3 exons. The record is from RefSeq and is a predicted model, not a curated record. NCBI's taxonomy places the organism in Eukaryota, Metazoa, Chordata, Actinopteri, Syngnathiformes, Syngnathidae.
UAAAAACACAACAAAAAAGAGAGAGAGAUUGGCUUAGCCUUGCUGACGUGAUGCUGAAAACUGACAUGGAGCAAUGCUCAGCGUGCACGGCAGUGAGAAAGCGCAGAUGAAGACAUCGUUCUUAAAUCUGGGGCUGUCUGGAAAAUGAUUUGACAGUUGAUCUCUGAAACUCGAACCCAAUAUGGAGGUUGAGCAACCUUCCAUUUGUUUGCAUUGCCAUUUCCUAGAUAAAUCAUACAAAUGGAUUAAAUCCCAUCCCGGAAUUUGGACCUUUGAAACAGAUCCUGAACAGAAUCCCCCAUGGCUGCCGAAGUGGAUGAGCUGAUCAUUGAAGAACCAGGUGAACGUGAGGUCCAGUGAGGGAUCGUGGCUGACUUGACAAGAAAUUUCCUGGACAAAAGCGGAGGGGUGAGAGUAAUGCCAUCAGGUGGAACAACUGGGUGGUUUAAGUUUAGGGGGUCAGCUUUUUUAAAAUCAUACCAUAGCCUUUCAGUCGGAAUGAAGUCUGUACU